CCUACGGGAGACAGCAGUGAGGAAUAUUGGUCAAUGGACGAGAGUCUGAACCAGCCAAGUAGCGUGAAGGAUGACUGCCCUAUGGGUUGUAAACUUCUUUUAUAAAGGAAUAAAACGAGGCACGUGUGCCUUUUUGCAUGUACUUUAUGAAUAAGGAUCGGCUAACUCCGUGCCAGCAGCCGCGGUAAUACGGAGGAUCCGAGCGUUAUCCGGAUUUAUUGGGUUUAAAGGGAGCGUAGAUGGGUUGUUAAGUCAGUUGUGAAAGUUUGCGGCUCAACCGUAAAAUUGCAAUUGAUACUGGCAGUCUUGAGUACAGUUGAGGUAGGCGGAAUUCGUGGUGUAGCGGUGAAAUGCUUAGAUAUCACGAAGAACCCCGAUUGCGAAGGCAGCUUACUAAACUGUGACUGACAUUGAUGCUCGAAAGCGUGGGUAGCAAACAGGAUUAGAUACCCUUGUAGUC
This 460-nucleotide ribosomal RNA is filed under the name uncultured bacterium. RNAcentral's name for it is "partial 16S ribosomal RNA". It matches the Rfam family "Bacterial small subunit ribosomal RNA", at positions 338 to 795 of the family's 1533-position model. The record is from RNAcentral.